Long non-coding RNA from Topomyia yanbarensis, 282 nucleotides. RefSeq lists it as uncharacterized. The transcript has 3 exons. The record is from RefSeq and is a predicted model, not a curated record. Lineage: Eukaryota; Metazoa; Arthropoda; Insecta; Diptera; Culicidae.
AGAGGCUAGAGUGCGUGUUAGUUAAAUUUGUCCCGCGGUGUCGAAAGGUGUUGCGUGGAAGUUAGCAGUAGGAAGUGCGGAAAUUUGUGUGCGUUAGAAAACCGAAUAAAAAGCCGUGCGACGGCUUUUAUUCUACCGUUUAGAUUGGCACUAUUCAUCGGCCCGCCACACCGCCCUUCGCCCACCGACGCGCUCUAGACCCACGCGCUAGUUUGGAAGAUUCUGCCGCUACAACCAAAUAAGGCAGAAGUGCGACGGUUUUACAUCGUUUGCUCAACUGAG